AACGCGAAGAACCUUACCAAGGCUUGACAUACACCGGAUCGGCUCAGAGAUGGGUUUUCCUCCUUGUGGGGCUGGUGUACAGGUGGUGCAUGGUUGUCGUCAGCUCGUGUCGUGAGAUGUUGGGUUAAGUCCCGCAACGAGCGCAACCCUCGUUCUAUGUUGCCAGCGCGUUAUGGCGGGGACUCAUAGGAGACUGCCGGGGUCAACUCGGAGGAAGGUGGGGAUGACGUCAAAUCAUCAUGCCCCUUAUGUCUUGGGCUUCACGCAUGCUACAAUGGCCGGUACAAAGGGCUGCGAUACCGUAAGGUGGAGCGAAUCCCAAAAAGCCGGUCUCAGUUCGGAUUGAGGUCUGCAACUCGACCUCAUGAAGUCGGAGUCGCUAGUAAUCGCAGAUCAGCAACGCUGCGGUGAAUACGUUCCCGGCCUUGUACACACCG
This 437-nucleotide ribosomal RNA is filed under the name uncultured Curtobacterium sp. RNAcentral's name for it is "bacterial SSU rRNA". It matches the Rfam family "Bacterial small subunit ribosomal RNA", at positions 958 to 1392 of the family's 1533-position model. Lineage: Bacteria; Bacillati; Actinomycetota; Actinomycetes; Micrococcales; Microbacteriaceae. The record is from RNAcentral.